RNAcentral lists this long non-coding RNA (3334 nucleotides) under Triticum aestivum (bread wheat). RNAcentral describes it as "long non-coding RNA (TAES_LNC016949)". Lineage: Eukaryota; Viridiplantae; Streptophyta; Magnoliopsida; Poales; Poaceae. The record is from RNAcentral.
UGGAUGUUCCCAACGAUUGUUGGUGUGAAAGCUUAUGCACCUUUCAAAUCUCAAUGUCUUACAUCUCACUACUGAAGCAAAAUAAUAAAGAAAUCUUUAGCUAAACUAACUGAAAUGAAAAAAAUAAUAUAGGUAAAUCGAGAUCUUGCCUUGUACUGAUAAAUAGAGCUCAGCUGCUGGUGAAGAUUGUGCACGCCCCAUGGUAGCCGGCUUCAAAGCAGAGGAUUGCGCCAUGGAACCACACUAGCGGCUCGGGGAAGAAUCGCCCGAACGACACUGACUCCCCCAGUGCUGACAUCCAGUCCUAAAAUCAAAGAAAUCGGACAACGUAAACAGGCCCAGAAGGCACCGUGUCUUACCUUAUCUGUGCUGCGUUGGGGAGAGAUCUGUGUCGACUCCCAUCGUACCGAGGGUUUGAAUUUGAUAUGUGCAACGGGUUCUCUUAGAGUUGUGUCGAAUAUAGUGUACAAGGUAGGUUACAGUUGGACUUGUAGUUGUAUCGUGUUUACAUAAGAUAUGGAGUCGUGUCCUAGUAGGACACUUGUAUCCUAGGCCUCUCUUAUAUAGUAAGGGUAGACACACGAUGUAACAUAUGCCAACAUAAUAGCACCGGAACGCAGGGGAAGCCGGCGGCAAUGUGCCGGUGUCCAGGGCGACCGGGUGCGGUAUUGUGAUGGUGUCACUGGGAGGAGCGCCCAUAGUCAAGCCCCGGGGAUGUAGCCAUAUCGGUGAACCUCGUUAACAAAUCUCGAUGUCGUGCUCGUGAUGAUUGCUUAGUCCUCGAAUGAUCAACGGUGGCCUCGAAUUUAUUCUAACAAGUGAUAUUAGAGCAAGGUCGUGAGGAAGCUGCGGAUUGUUGAUCUAGAAGAAGUAUCGAGUUUGAGAGGGAGCCGACUGUGGCGUGGUUUUCGGCGAGAUUGAGAAAAGCGAUCAGAUGUACAUCGUAGCGUGCAGCAGGCUGAAGUCACGUGGCAUGCAGGUAAGCAGCAGAUCGAUUCGAUGAGCGCUGCUGUGGCCUUCGGAUCGAGGCCGGCCGGGCGGCUGGUGCGUGUACGCAACAGUCAGCAGAUCGGAUUGAUAAUGAUCGGAAGCAACUCCGCGGCUGGCGGCAUACCCUACGUGCGGACAUGUAGCUUCGUUGCCCUGCGUGGCAGGCUGGCUGGUGCGGCUUGGUGGAGCCGUGGCUUGAGGGCCAGAACGUGACGCGUACAUGAUGUACAAGGAGCUGCGGGAGAUUUGUUUUGGACAAAAAAGGAAGGACCGAGUCCUUAUGUGACACAAAAGGGCAGGAGACAGAUCAAUUUGGCGAUGGAAAAAAUUCAUCACGUUGGGAUCCAUCGGAUUUAGCAGGAGACAUUGACAAAGCAACAGCCAGCAUUGAAGGUUGAGCUAGAGCUACUACACGUGAAGAUCAAAAGUUUUUUGGUUGGAAUUGCUAGUAGUACACGCAUGUUCUGUCGUGUACUUGUGCAUCACAGGGAUAUUGCUCAUGUAUUUUUCACAAAGUCAGCCGUACAAAGAACCAGGGCAUCAAUGGGUGUCAGGUUUGAGGUGGAGAAGUUCGUGAAACUGAAAACCUUGGGUUAUGGCAGACUUGGGUGAAAGAUUGUUGGCGCGAUAGGGAUACUUGAAGGAGUUGCAGGAAGUCAUGUCAGCUAAGAUGAAAUUGUGAUGUGAUGGAUGAAAAUUCGCGGAAAACGGUUUGGGAGCCUUGAGUGUGUCGUACAGUCGAACGAGUUCGGCUGAGUCAGACUAGGCAGUCUGAUGGAUCGACAUGAGUCGGUUGGUACAGAAGACGGUGGUGGGAUCAGCGACAGCGACAUAUGAGCGUGAUGUUGAUGGUGACCGACUUCUGGGCGUGGAAACACGUGGCGCAGGCCCGAUGCUUGUGUGGCUUCGACAAGACUAUGACGCGGGGUUGAUUCAAGGUGAUGUACACACGGAGCUUGAAGUCGACGGGGCGUGGGGGUGGACGGAUCAUCUACCAUGGAGUCAUAUUGAAGGUGGAGCUGGAGUCUGGAGGACUUCACUUGGUGCUGAUUGAGAGGCUACGACGUAAGAGCUCAGAGAGUCGAAGCCUAUUCAGUGGGAAAAGCGAGUGACAUGCAGUUCGGACUGGAGCCCAGUGGUUUGAUGGAAGCGUGAAACUCGCCAUCGGUCGGUGAUGAUCGGUGGUACUCUGCAGUGGAGGUUGAGUGGUGUGGGUCCGUGAACCUUGAGACUCGACCGGGACAGCGAAGGCUCGACGCGGCAAUAGCGGCGAGGCGUGCGGUAGCACGGGACAUGGAGACGGGCCAGGGCUCUGGUGGUCAUGCAUGUGGUGAGACAACUGCGAAUUUGACUCGGGAUGACUACAAGCAACGGUGAAAUUCUUUCAAGUUUCAGCCAGACGGUCAAGAAAGGAGCGGUGAUGUUGAGUUCAGGUAACUCUUAUGUGUGACACCCAAUAUGUGAGUUGUUCACUUUCACGCAGGCCAGCGAUCAGUGUGUGAUGGCGUUGGACUGAUGCUCUGGAAGUUGGGAGCGCAAAUGAGAGUAAUGCGGAACUUAAUUUUGCUCGAGUGUUGACUGUGGUCAAGAAUAGAAGGGACUACAAGUUGCAGGUGGAGUCAUAUGGAGUCUUUGGAGUAGCAGCGGUGCUCAUGGGAUAAACUCAAGUCCAAUGUACAUGGAAGUUUGACGCAUGGACGAACUCAAGGUGGUGGAGAAUAUUCGCCAAGGUGGAGUUUGUUAGAGUUGUGUCGAAUAUAGUGUACAAGGUAGGUUACAGUUGGACUUGUAGUUGUAUCGUGUUUACAUAGGAUGUGGAGUCGUGUACUAGUAGGACACUUGUAUCCUAGGUCUCUCUUAUAUAGCGAGGGUAGACACACGAUGUAACAUAUGCCAACAUAAUAGCACCGGAAUGCAGGGGAAGCCGGCGGCAUGUGCCGGUGUCCAGGGCGACCGGGUGCAGUAUUGUGACGGUGUCACGGGGAGAAGCGCCCAUAGUCAAGCCCCGAGGAUGUAGCCAUAUCGGUGAACCUCGUUAACAAAUCUCGGUGUCGUGCUCGUGAUGAUUGCUUGGUCCUCGGAUGAUCAACGGUCGCCUCGGAUUUAUUCUAACAGGUUCGGCACGAGCGCUGGAGCUGAAUAGGUUUUGUACAUUGGGGCUAGCAAGAGUGGAUGGAGCAUGCCGUCAUGGUGGCCGGCGGCUGCGGGACAAGCCCCAUGGUAGCCGGCGGCGAUUGGGGAACGAACAGGAUGGAGUAGAGGCGAACAGGACGAAGGAGACACACUUGUCGUCGAUCACAAAAUAACCUAGGGUGUACUAUGCAUAUUUUCCAAUGGGAAGGAG